AGCAACUGCAAAAAUUAGAGAAAAGAAAAGUUGUUUUGCAAAAGUUAGACCAUUCAUAAUCGACGCACUUUGGAUUGCACCCAACCAGUGAAGGCAAGAGGGAACACAAUUUGUAAGUUUUAGGGCUCUCUAUGAGGUCACUGCUAAUUCUAUUUUAAUAGCAGACCUCCAGAAGAUUAUUAAUUUUUCAACAAUAAGCCUGAAAAGAAAAGAAACACUAAUUUCAUUCUCCCUGGAUGCCUAUAAACAUUCAUUAUUUUAAGCCUUUCUGUUCUCCUUUUCUAUUAUACUACAUUUUUUUUUUCAAGGCCAGAGACAGGCCUACUCUUUCUAUAUGCCAAGAGCAAAGCUGAUUUGGGCGGUAGUGACAUUCACCCGAUGUCACUCUCCUGUACUUCUUUGGAAAGGGGUUCAGGUGAAUGCCUCACAGCCAUAAAGUAUUAUAGAUUAACCAUUGUUUUCCAGUAGCCUGGCAUAGUUCCUGGAACAGUGAUUUCCACUAAAGUUUAUUUAAGGGAAAAUUUAAAAUAGAGGAAGAUACAUAAAGAUAUUAGGAGUUGUCACAGAAAUUUAACAACAGGAGAAUAGAAUAACAACAGGAGAAAAGUAAACCCAGCAUGUUAGCACAUGCUCACAUAUUGUAGUUAAAAUAAGAUUUAAAAAUAUUCCAACUGGAGAUGAAAUAGCUAAUAAGAGUUUAUUUGUCAUACACACAAGAAAAAAAAAAAGUAAAGUAUGAAAGAGUCCAGGACCAGACUAGAAUAAUAGCUCCAUGUCCACCAGAGACAUAGACUCUUUCUGUGAUUGCUAGGAUGUAGCCUUCAUCAUCAUACUCCAAAAAGGCUGCUGGAGUUCCAGCUAUCACAGCCACAUUUGAAGCAUCAGUAUCAGAAAAGUGGAAGGGAAGAAAGAGACUUCCCAUGAUUUCUAUACAACACAUUUUCUUACUUUUCACUACCAAGAACUUAAUCACCUACUUCAGUCAAAUACAAAGAAGGCUAUUGCCCAGUCAUAGGCUUCAUAACAGAGGAGCUAUAUGUUUAGCAACAGGAUACUAAGGUUAAUAACUCUAAAUAUAAAAAUGUUUAGGAGCUGACAGAGGAUUCCAUGUGUGCAUGUAUUCUGAGAGGGAGGAAGGAGGACAGAGGAGUGAGCUGGCUCUUAGAAACCGAAAGCUUAAAGUAGCAAGAGGAGCAUCCAGCUCAUCUGGGGCCUGCUCUGACAGAAACAGAUGCACUUAUGGACAAAGUAAGGCAGAAUAAAUUAAAGGUAAACAGACAAUUUUCAAAUCGUCAUUGUUGGUAUUGCCCAGUCUGGUUUACCAUAGAGAAACAUAAAGAGAUUCAGGCAGGAGGUUCAAGUCUAAGUGAAGAUUCAGCUGACAGCCUCGUGUUCCUGUGUGCUAAAUCUCUUUGAACUUGACUAUGACAAAGAGGGUAAAAAAGAGAGAUACCCUGACUCUGGGCUCAGGGGGAGCCCAGUGCUGCCUCUCUCUCCUGCCUAUACCUAUUGUUUAUCAUAUAUACCCUCAUUCUAGAUCAGUUCUCUCCCAGGCAUUCUGUAGCCCUGAAUAGUGUGACACGUAUGUUUGUAAUGAUAAUUUUCAGCCAAUAGUUGUGACUGAAUGAGAAAUGGCCACCACCAUCUGCACCCCCACACUCCUCUACCACACUCUCACACACUCCUUAUCUCAGAGCAAGCAGGUUUCUGGGAAUUAAUCCAUCAAAUAUUUUGAAGGAAGACUCUACAGCCUGGUAACACGGCUUAUCUUACCCCAGUGCAUAUUCAUUGCUAUGGUAGCCAUAGCUGGGGAAAAAGUAUCACCUAGGACCUCCUAUUUCCUGUCAGGGAGAGGAGGGGAGUCAAAGAAAACCAACAACCAAGGAAUAUAGUGCCAGGAUGAGAUUCCUAGACAUCUCUGCCCUCAAGGAAAAAAGCAGUGAGGCAGAGAGCAGCAGUGCUAUUGUGAGGAAAAUCAUUUACUGAACCCCUGCUGACCACAGCUCCAGUCCCAAAUUAAGAAUAGAUGAAAAUGGAAAUAGCUAAGUUGGUAGGUAAGGCAUGUUUGGGUUUGUUUGUUUUUGGUAUGAUGGAAGGGAGGUGAGAUAUUAACUAUGACUAUAUAUUUCAUCUCUAAUCUCUCCCUUUCUACAGUAAACACUGGGAAUAAUCCAAAGCACAAAAGGGUGUGGACCAGUAGCCUUUUAAAGGAAUUUUAUAAAAUGUAUCUAUUCUCAGUGCCCUUCAGCAGGUUUCUGAGGCCUCUGACUUCUUCAGGUACUUUGGCUCAGAAAAUUAUUAAUCUUGGUGCUUUUAGUUUAGUGCCCACCCCAUGGCUUAUGAUGCAUUGCCAGAGUUUUGAAUAACUCAAAGUUUUGUGUAAGACCCAUUCUCUCCUUUACCCCUGAGUCUUUCUUUUGUGGGACAAAGAAAAUCAAGAAUUCUCUGAACAUAUUCUCUUCUGUCUAUGUAUUCCUGGAAGGAUUAUAAUAGUCAGGACUUCCACAUUUUUCUUCAUAACUCAAUCUCAACUUAUCUCCAAUGAAUCAAAGGGUGGUAGGGUUUUUAAGAGGUGGAAUAGGGUGCAAGGAUCAUAGGAUAUCUGGGGUGAGGUCAAGGGCCAAGGGGCAGAAAGAAGCCUGCCCAAACUCUAGUCAAGUUGAGGGAAACACUAAGUCCAUCUUGGUCAAUUCUUACCAUAACUCCACGGAGUCAUGCAUUAAUAUGCCCAUUUUAGGGUAGAAGACCUAAACAGACAAUGUCCAAAGAAGACACUAGAUAGCCAACACACACAUGAAAAGUUGCUCAAUAUCGCCAAUUAUCAUGUUUCAUUGUAAUACCCCUCCCCCCACCUUGAGCAACCUGGGCUGAAAAUGAGUGGGGCUCAGGGCAGGAAAAUUCAGGUC
This 2906-nucleotide long non-coding RNA is filed under the name Sus scrofa (pig). RNAcentral's name for it is "lncRNA (ENSSSCG00005039700.1)". Lineage: Eukaryota; Metazoa; Chordata; Mammalia; Artiodactyla; Suidae. The record is from RNAcentral.